CCUACGGGAGGCAGCAGUGAGGAAUAUUGGUCAAUGGGAGCGAUCCUGAACCAGCCAAGCCGCGUGAGGGAAGACGGCCCUAUGGGUUGUAAACCUCUUUUGUCGGGGAACAAAACCCGGGACGUGUCCCGGACAGCGUGUGUACGAAGAAAAAGCAUCGGCUAACUCCGUGACAACAGCCGCGGUAAUACGGAGGAGGCUAGCGUUAUCCGGAUUUCUUGGGGUUAAAGGGUGCGCAGGCGGGCCUUUAAGUCCGCGGUCAAAGGCCGGGGGUCAACCCCGGGACGGCCGUUGAAACUGGCAGUCUCGAGUUGGAGAGAGGGAUGCGGAAUGCGCGGGGUAGCGGUGAAAUGCAUAGAUAUCGCGCAGAACUCCGAUUGCGAAGGCAGCAUGCCGGCUCCAAACUGACGCUGAGGCACGAAAGCGUGGGUAUCGAACAGGAUUAGAUACCCUUGUAGUC
This 460-nucleotide ribosomal RNA is filed under the name uncultured bacterium. RNAcentral describes it as "partial 16S ribosomal RNA". It matches the Rfam family "Bacterial small subunit ribosomal RNA", at positions 338 to 795 of the family's 1533-position model. The record is from RNAcentral.